CGACCCUACAACUUUUGUAUGUUGAUUUUGUAUCCUGCCAAAUGGGGCUAUAGCCUAGUCCACAGGGAUUUGAAGCCAGUUCCAUGUAGCCAGGACCAUGUUCAGUGUGUCAGCCACCUUGGUGCAGGCCUGCCUUCUCAAAAGGACUCUCCUCAGUCUUGGACAGCCCUGGGGUUUCACAAUCCCCUACCUGGAUCCCAAAGCCCCCACAAAGGCACUUUGGUCCAUGGAUGGUUGCCAAAUUAUUUUUGUUGAGGAGGGAUAUGAGUGGGGACAUCUUAUUUUGUCAUCUUGCUGACAUCACUCUCCAUUUCUUUAAAUAAAUAUAAAUUGCUCUAAUUCCCUUUCUAAAAGACCAAGCUUCCCCAAUAAGCUUAAAAAUAUAUGCUAUUUACAAGAAAAACCAAUGAUAAAAAUUUACAGAAGAUCAAAAAUGUGUAAAGUAUGCCCAAAACAUAUAAAUACAAAGAAAGCAGAAUGUGAAUACAAUAUUAGCUAAAGUGGGAUUCAAGAUAAAAACCAUUACAUUUUUAAAAUAUUAAAUUUAAAGGAGUCAUUUGCUGUUGAUACAAGUUUCCAUCUCUAGUGAUUAUAUAAAAUUAGUGAACAUGUAGGUAUGUAGUGAACAUGGAAUGAAAAUGUAUAAAAAUAUGUAAAAACUGUCUUUGCUUCUCAGAUGUUGAAGUUCAAUAAAACCCAUACUUAUUUUCACACACUGACAUCCUAAGUCUCUUUCUUAUUUUCAUCUUUCAUACAGCAGCUCUCUAACGAUAAUUCAAGCUAUCCCAAACUGGCAUUGCCUGCCAGCCAAUGCUGUAGGGACUCCACUCCUGGCCAAGACAGCAUGAGUGUUGACAGGUGAGCACUUUUAAUGGCACCAGCUGUUGGCAGAGAUGAGAAGCCCCCUUACCACCCACAGAACUUUCUGUUACAUAAUCAGUAUGCCUCGUGAACUAUAAGGAGGCCACAAGAAUGAAGGGCAGCAGCACAAAAAUUAUGUAUGAACAAGACUACAUUUUAGUCCAUGGAUUGUUGCAACGCUGGUUUUUCUUUUUAACUUAGUAACGCAAAAUUUUGCUAAAUGCUGAGUAAGUUUGGGACUCGGGGAAAACAGCCGUAGCUGCUUAUGCAUACUUGAAAAAUAGAUAUUUACAGAAGUCGGCAUUUGAAAUGUAAGUGACUAGUCUGCAUCCUAAGCAGCCAAAUGGGUUGAACAAAUUACACUUUAUUGGUUCUCCUGCCUGCAGGAGGCUUAAACUUUCUGUGCUGCAUAUCUCAGACAUGGCUGUUAAGUUGUUGUGGUCACAGAAAGGGAGGCAGAAAGGAAAGGACUGUGUGUCACUUCCUAGGAGAUGUUUUAAUAGCCAGCACAUGCUUUGACAAUUUCUUUUCUCCCUCAGCUAUACUUACCACCAAUAUUCGCACAGCACCUGAUACGUUAUUCUGGAUCCCAGCGUGAGGGCUAUGAUGAAAUUGAGCAGAACCCCAGGCCAGCUCAUACAUGCAUAUGGCAUGGGCGAGAAACAAAUUUUUGUUGCUGUUUUAAAUUUGUCAAGACAACGUAGCUUCUGUUUUGAAUAAUAAACCAAACUUGGAAAAUCCCCCCCCACCCUGUUCAGACUAUUGCAGACUACUGACUGUUUCACGCAUUUCACAUUGUUCAGAGUAACUGAACAAAAGCCUAAAUGCACUUCGACGUGUGGACGGUUUUAAUUGACACGGCAUUGAGGAGAGUGGUUUCGACCUUAGCGACAGCCCUAGAAAGCACUCAUGGGGCACCGGGGUAAAUACACACAUUCACAUCGUAUGCUUCACUUGUCUGUGGUUUAAAACAAUUACCAUUUGCUGUGCUCAGAAUGUAAAUUCUCUUUAAAUGGGAACACGCACCAUCAAGCCUUCCUUAGACUUUUAUCUUCAGAAAAGAACCUCUCGUUUUUAAAAUUUCACUUUUAUUCUGAACUACUUAUUUGACCUGCCACAACUAAAAUUUAAUAUAAUCUGGAAAGACAAUGGUCUCAUGUUUUUCUGUCUACCUUGGGUGUUAAAACCCAUUCGAUCUGGAAGCUAUCCAGAAAAAAAAAAAAAAAAAAAAAGGAUGUUUAUCUAAAUGUUCAGAGUCCAAAUGGUAAAAUAAUCAGGUGCACCUAUAUUAUAGGAUCAAAACAGUGACUAUGCUAAUGAGCUCAGCAAAUUCUGUCAAUUAGGGAUGAAGGAAGAGCUACAUUAUUUGUCAGCUUGACAGAGGCCACAGACCUCUGAUUUCCUGCGUGACUUCAUUUGUCUUUAUAUCACUCUGCAACAUUUUCAAAGAAUACUCCUCUCAUUCUAUUCUGAAAGCAAAAUUCUAAAAUGGUUAUUUGGUUUACUAUUACUGCAUUUUUGCCGUUAAAGAACAAAGUGACACAGAAAGAUCAGAUUGCUCGGCCAAGAACACAGAGCUAUAUAUUGGGGCAUAAAGAUAACACCACAGAUCUCUAGUCUAGUUCUUGUAUCUCACAACUUCCUUAUAGUUACGCCUCUUCCUAUUUGAUUAGCCAAUUUCUUAACUUGGUUGUGAAAAUUGUCAAACUGGAGAACAGCCAGACUUGCACUUCAUUUCUGUAUAUGCCCUAACUAAGCAUCUGAGACAGGCUUUCUUGAAUAGUAAUAAAAAAGGGAUAUUUUUAAGAAUGUGUAGGAAAUACUUGGGGGCUCCAAGCAUCAUUUGAAGUCUUAGUCACAGAAUCCUCCUUCUUUUUGGAAGCACAAUUCUUUCAAGCAUUUAACAGGCUUCAUUUCUACCUAAUGCCAAUCUUCUCCCCGCGCCUAUAACCAAACUCAGAAUUCUGGUUCUUGGACAUAGAUCCCCAAACUGCUCUAUUUCUUUGCUCUCUUGCCUUCAUGCCCUCUCAAAUGAGUGGUCAUGCACGUUGAUCUUUUUGGUUUCAGUAGACGAACCACACCCUUGAGCGUUUGCCCUUAAUUCGUUUUACGUCAUUAAGAACUUUUGUUUGGGCCCGUUGUCUUAAGUUGAACUUUGCCUUGAGGCUCAAUAAUCUAUUGAGGAUAAUUAACAACAGGUGUGGAAACCAUACUCUCAAUUUGGUCUUUGGCAAAAGGCUGAGCUUUAACAACUGAAGGUCGCUCAGAGUUUUCUCAAGUGUUUCUCAUAGUCUCCUGCCAUUUGAGUUUAAGAAGAACUUGCCUUUUCGAGCCCCAUUUCUGAAUGUUCUAUAUUUCUUUUAGUUCUUGUUUGCAAAUUAGCGAAUUCUUUCUACAUUUAUCUCUUUCUUAUGAUACUAUGUUAAACACGGCCAACAGCACACAAGAUGAACAAAUAAUAUUCUGUUCUUUAACCUCUCCCCCAAAGCCAGAAAUUCAUUUUGUCCAUGACUUGCCUCCCAUAUCACCAGAGGUAACUAUUUUACUGUAUGAUUUGCCACUGAAUGACACGAGUCAACACCACUCAAGCCUCUGAUACAUGUAUUGCUUCAGGUAUCGUGGGUCAAGGAGGGUCUCUUGGCACUGAGCUUUGCUGCCUUGGAAGACGGUUGAUGCAGGAUCGUGUAACGAUCAAGAGAAUGGAAGACAGGCUGAGUUUGAAUGUCAGCUCCUCCACAUCUGGCGAGAAUUUGUACGAGUUAACCAACCUCUCUGUGUCUAAGUUUCCUCAUCAAUAAAACAGGAAUGAUAAAAUAGAACGUGCCUCAGACUUGUGAUCAUUUCAUGACUUAACACACUUAAGGCAGUCAGAACGGUGGUUGGUACGCGGUAAUUCUAAUGCAUUAGUUACUAUUAAUUCUCUGAGUAUUAUGUGUAUAUCUCUGAGUAUGUCUCUGAGUAUGCCGAAGUCUUCACUUCUACCUCUUGACGGACGACCCUCCAGUCCAUAUAACAAUUCUAGAAUGGACUUCAUGAGUUCCACAGCCAUAUAUUCAAUUCCAUUCUAGAUAUCUCCAACAAUUCAAAUUCAACUGGUCCACAAAGGGGAGGCACCAUCAUUCUUCCCACUCCUGCUUUUCUAGCCAUGUUUUCUAGCUUAUGCAGUUACAUCAGCAUCCACUCACUCAAGCUAGAAAACUGCACAGAUUUGUGAGCAAUUUUAUGAGUUCUACCUCAAAAUUCAUCCCUCCCUCACUUUCCCUUCACUGUAAUCAUUAUUAUUUCUUGAUUCACAUUCUGCUCUGGCCUCCUAAUUGCUCUG
Non-coding RNA from Equus caballus (horse), 4183 nucleotides. NCBI's taxonomy places the organism in Eukaryota, Metazoa, Chordata, Mammalia, Perissodactyla, Equidae. The record is from RefSeq and is a predicted model, not a curated record.